RNAcentral lists this ribosomal RNA (492 nucleotides) under uncultured bacterium. Its description in RNAcentral is "partial 16S ribosomal RNA". It matches the Rfam family "Bacterial small subunit ribosomal RNA", at positions 29 to 507 of the family's 1533-position model. The record is from RNAcentral.
AGUGAACGCUGGCGGUAGGCCUAACACAUGCAAGUCGAACGGCAGCACAGUAAGAGCUUGCUCUUACGGGUGGCGAGUGGCGGACGGGUGAGGAAUACAUCGGAAUCUACUUUUUCGUGGGGGAUAACGUAGGGAAACUUACGCUAAUACCGCAUACGACCUACGGGUGAAAGCAGGGGAUCUUCGGACCUUGCGCGAUUGAAUGAGCCGAUGUCGGAUUAGCUAGUUGGCGGGGUAAAGGCCCACCGAGGCGACGAUCCGUAGCUGGUCUGAGAGGAUGAUCAGCCACACUGGAACUGAGACACGGUCCAGACUCCUACGGGAGGCAGCAGUGGGGAAUAGUGGACAAUGGGCGCAAGCCUGAUCCAGCCAUACCGCGUGGGUGAAGAAGGCCUUCGGGUUGGAAAGCCCUUUUGUUGGGAAAGAAAAGCAGCAGGUUAAUACCCCGCUGUUCUGACGGUACCCAAAGAAUAAGCACCGGCUAACUUCGUG